AGCGCCUACGGGACGCAGCAGUGGGGGAUAUUGCACAAUGGGGGGAACCCUGAUGCAGCGACGCCGCGUGGGUGAAGGAGCGUUUCGGCGCGUAAAGCCCUAUCGGCAGGGAAGAAGAUGACGGUACCUGACCAAGAAGCCCCGGCUAACUACGUGCCAGCAGCCGUGGUAAUACGUAGGGGGCAAGCGUUAUCCGGAUUUACUGGGUGUAAAGGGGGCGCAGACGGCAA
RNAcentral lists this ribosomal RNA (230 nucleotides) under uncultured bacterium. Its description in RNAcentral is "partial 16S ribosomal RNA". It matches the Rfam family "Bacterial small subunit ribosomal RNA", at positions 334 to 581 of the family's 1533-position model. The record is from RNAcentral.